This is a long non-coding RNA of Callithrix jacchus (white-tufted-ear marmoset), 1972 nucleotides long. RefSeq lists it as uncharacterized. The record is from RefSeq and is a predicted model, not a curated record. Lineage: Eukaryota; Metazoa; Chordata; Mammalia; Primates; Cebidae.
CCCCUAGCGGUCGGGAGGCCACACACCGCUUCUCCGCCAAGGGUAUUUGAAAGGGAGAGCCUCCCUUCGUGGCGGGUGGCGGCUCCCACCGGGGCCGCUUCCGGCGGGAGGGACAGUGCUUAAGUCCUCCGACCCACGGUUGCUCUUAGUCUUGGAACCCCGAGGGAGUCACCCGGCAAGGUCUGAAAAGUUCCGUGCCGGGAGACUUUCUAAUUCCUGUGGAGUGAGGCCCACCAUUGGAUAAGACUUCCCACGUGAUUCCAAAGUUAUAGUGAAGAGUUGAAAAUCAAAGACCCAUGGUAUAACAUAAUGAUUACCGACAGGCUUGACAUCAAACAAACCUGCAUCUGAAUCUUGGUUCUAUCACUUCCUGACUGCAUAAUUUUGUGGCACGCAAAACAGUAAUGGAUCCAGACAUUAUGUCCCCUGAGGGAGAAAAUCACCUUUUCUUGAGAACCAGUGGCCUAGAAGAAAGAAGCCAUAAAAAGGAGGAAAAGGCGUAAAUAAAAAUGGAAAGAGCUACUGUCCAAGGCAGCCAUGUAGUCUCACUCACAAUAUCUACAAUGGGACAUUUCUUGUGCUAGCAAGGAUGCAUAGGGUGAGUUAACAGAGCUCAUUGGUAAAAUACCUUUGAGAGAACUUGAAAUAAAAUGUGGGAAAGCCAGGGAUGCUAGUUUUUGUUAAUCAGACAGACUAAAACUGGAGAAAUAUUUUUGUGUUAUUUUUGACAGUUCUUAUGACCUAUUUUUAUCUUCAGGCUGAUAUGGCUUGGGAAACAUUAGUUAAAUUUGAACGAAUGGAUGAUUUUAAUGAAUGAAGUUAACAUUCUUUUUUCUUAAUUGGCAUGCUUAAAUUCACACAUUACUACUGUUGGGUUAGAAUUUUAGAAGUGUCAGGUACAUUAAUCUACAUUAUACUAUUGUAAAAUAGUGAUGAACUCUCUGUGAAAAUUGAUCCCACACAGAGAGUUCUAAGAUUAGAAACUAAAAUUUUGAUGUAUCACUAAGUGUUCAAUUUAAAUUCCAUGAUAAGUGGCCUAAACAUGAAAGAAAAUUUUCAAAAUAGGCUACUGUGAGAUAUCUUUACAUUCAGUAGGUUACCCAUCACUUUUUAAACAAGAAUUUAUAUCUUUAAAACUUGCAUUAAUUUGUUUUAAAAUACUAAUUCUGAUUCCACUUGAAAUGUGUUUUGAAGCAGUAAUGGGGCAGAAGAGGAUAUAAUAAAAGAAAAUAUUGAAAAGAAGUGAUAAAAUUCCUCAAUUAAGUCUACUUUAAAAGAUGGAGAAAAUGAAGAGCCAUUGCUCUACCUGGGCAGUAUAGUAUCCCUUUCCCCUAUUGAGGUAGGAGAACCUCACUCUUCCUUCCCCAUUUCACAUACCCUGUCCUCACCACCUCUCUUCUCCCUAUCUCAGAACAGUGAGAGGUUCAUGACCUAAAGGGAAUUUGAAUCUUGGUUGGAGUGAAGUUAUUUGGAUUCCUGGUCCUACUAAAAGCUUGGAUAUUCAGGUUUUCCUUCCCAGUCCCUCAAUUCUAUGAGCUACCAGUAUACUUCCAAUUAAAUAUCUUCUUUGCUUUAUUUCCAGUAAAGUAAUUAGGUUAUCAAGAAUCGAUUUCAGUUGCUUAAAACAGAAGCAAAAAAUUGUAACUGAUACAGGAAACUCUGAUUAAAAAGUAUUGUGAAUCAUCUGUCACUUUGAUCAAAGAGAAUGGGAAAGGGUCAGGAAAGAAUAUGGAAUUAGAACUUAAAGGUAGAUUUCUUGAGUCUAUGCUGACCAAACGUUGAAAGUAUGGGAUCUAUUCAUAUGUGUUUCAUUUGUUGGUUUUUUAAUCUACUUUUACCGGGUUUACAUACAGGUGUGGUUAUAUAGUUGCCAAUGGUGCCUGAAUAAUUUUAGGAUUCCCAUAAUAUUUAGACAAUUUUUUUCUGACUGUGAUGCUUACUAUUUUCUAAUAAUGCAAUUAAAAGUAUUAUA